AGGACCGCCGUAAUGAUUAAUAGGGACAGUCGGGGGCAUCAGUAUUCAAUUGUCAGAGGUGAAAUUCUUGGAUUUAUUGAAGACUAACUACUGCGAAAGCAUUUGCCAAGGAUGUUUUCAUUAAUCAGGAACGAAAGUUAGGGGAUCGAAGACGAUCAGAUACCGUCGUAGUCUUAACCAUAAACUAUGCCGACUAGGGAUCGGACGAUGUUAUUUUUUGACGCGUUCGGCACCUUACGAGAAAUCAAAGUGCUUGGGCUCCAGGGGGAGUAUGGUCGCAAGGCUGAAACUUAAAGAAAUUGACGGAAGGGCACCACCAGGGGUGGAGCCUGCGGCUUAAUUUGACUCAACACGGGGAAACUCACCAGGUCCAGACACAAUGAGGAUUGACAGAUUGAGAGCUCUUUCUUGAUUUUGUGGGUGGUGGUGCAUGGCCAUUCUUAGUUGGUGGAGUGAUUUGUCUGCUUAAUUGCGAUAACGAACGAGACCUUAACCUGCUAAAUAGCCCGUAUUGCUUUGGCAGUACGCUGGCUUCUUAGAGGGACUAUCGGCUCAAGCCGAUGGAAGUUUGAGGCAAUAACAGGUCUGUGACGCCCUUAGAUGUUCUGGACCGCACGCGCGCUACACUGACGGAGCCAGCGAGUACUCCCUUGGCCGGAAGGCCCGGGUAAUCUUUAAUCCCCU
RNAcentral lists this ribosomal RNA (684 nucleotides) under uncultured fungus. Its description in RNAcentral is "SSU rRNA". It matches the Rfam family "Eukaryotic small subunit ribosomal RNA", at positions 853 to 1564 of the family's 1831-position model. The record is from RNAcentral. Lineage: Eukaryota; Fungi.